UACGUAGGGGGCAAGCGUUGUCCGGAAUUAUUGGGCGUAAAGCGCGCGCAGGCGGUCCUUUAAGUCUGAUGUGAAAGCCCACGGCUCAACCGUGGAGGGUCAUUGGAAACUGGGGGACUUGAGUGCAGAAGAGGAAAGCGGAAUUCCACGUGUAGCGGUGAAAUGCGUAGAGAUGUGGAGGAACACCAGUGGCGAAGGCGGCGUUCUGGUCUGUAACUGACGCUGAGGCGCGAAAGCGUGGGGAGCAAACAGG
RNAcentral lists this ribosomal RNA (253 nucleotides) under uncultured bacterium. RNAcentral describes it as "partial 16S ribosomal RNA". It matches the Rfam family "Bacterial small subunit ribosomal RNA", at positions 524 to 776 of the family's 1533-position model. The record is from RNAcentral.